AUAACUUGAUUGGAGAAGGUGGUAAUAGUUAUGUUUACAGAGGAGACCUACCAGAUGGAAGGGAGCUAGCUGUCAAAUUACUAAAGCCUUGCUCUAGAUAACUUGAUUGGAGAAGGUGGUAAUAGUUAUGUUUACAGAGGAGACCUACCAGAUGGAAGGGAGCUAGCUGUCAAACUAUUAAAGCCUUGUCUUGACGUGAUGAAGGAGUUCAAACAGGAAAUCGAAGUGAUUACAAGUGUGAAUCACAAGAACAUAGUGUCUCUCUUUGGUUUCUGCUUUGAGAAUAAUAAUUUGAUGCUGGUGU
Molecule: long non-coding RNA, 304 nt
Filed under: Brassica napus (rape)
Lineage: Eukaryota; Viridiplantae; Streptophyta; Magnoliopsida; Brassicales; Brassicaceae
Description: long non-coding RNA (BNAP_LNC001873)
Source: RNAcentral